AUUUUGAGGGUAACACCCCCUCUAUUACCUUCAAAAUACUGGCAUUUCAUUUCCCCAUUGUUGCCACCCAUUCAGUCCACAUUAGUUGCCAGGUGCAGCUUUCACCCUACAAUCCCAAAAAUAUGAGGAAAACCUUGUUGGUGGAAUGGUCUUUUUAAAAAAAAUUAUUAUUAUUAUUUUUUUUUAAAUGAGGAAUUGGAAAAAAAAAAAACAGGACUUUUGUCCUUAAUGUGCAAACAAAAACACGCAACACAGUAUGACAGGAACGAUGGUGAAAGGACGUUGGUAACUUUGCAUUCCUAGCAGCUCUGGCAGACAAUAAAGGAAGUCCUCAAGUUACGAUGCACUCGACCUACGACGUUCGACUUUACGACGCCCGUGCCUCGUCUGCCAUUUUGUCCCAGCACCAUAGUGUUUCUGCUUAGCUAGUGCAUAGUGCUUGUCUGUGUUUGUGCGGCGGGAGUAUCUUUGCCUUUUUCGCCCUCCUUUUUUCACGCUCUCAGCAGUAAUGUAAUCAGCACCACCUCGGCCGAGCAUCUGUUGUCAAUCAGCAUUCAUCAUUGCCUCCAUUUAAGCCUGCCAGAUCCAGGAUUCCACCGCCAGAGUAUUAACAUUCAUCCGUGUGCUCCUUCCGUGCUCCCCGCCUCGCUGUUCUCUCCAGCCACGCCGCCAAGCUCUUCUGCCUGCUCACGCCACAGCCUCCCGCACGUUCCUUGUCCCGACGGUCCACCAUCACACCUUGGAGAUCCCACUCUGAACUCUAUUUUAAAUAAACCCUUCUCCACGACUUCUUCCGCCUCCGUCUGCUUCUGGGUCCAGUCAACCCUGAUAUGAUUGUAUUGUGACAGAAUACUCUGGCCAUCAUGGACACAGCAACCCAGGAGGUGCUAAGAGAAGCGCCCACAUUGGAAGACAGGACAAAGUUCUCUGCGAGAUCAUGGCCUCGUUCAACACCCUCUCUCAAUAAGUAUCCCUCAGUUCUUCCCAAAUGCACACCGGCCACCCUCCCGUCAGUAUUCCUUCCGAGCCCACAGCCUCCGAUCAAUCCUGCCUCCCGUACAAAGAGCCUCAUGAUGUUCCUCCGCCCGAGCCAUACUCCGGGGACUUAGGUUCAUGCAGCCAUUUCCUCUUAAAUCGCUCCCUAGUAUUCAAUCUGCAACCAUUGAGCUACCCUAGUGAACAAUCCAAGGUCGCAUUUGUCACCAACCUCCUACGCGGGAAAGCUGCUAAAUGGGCACUCGAGCUAUGGCAUAAUUCCUCCCCAGUACUCACGUCAAUUGACUCUUUUUCCGCCGAACUUAAAAAGGUCGUUGACCACCCCGUUCAGGGCAGGGAAGCCACUCGACGCCUCCUUACACUCACUCAGGGCUCUAGUUCCGUGGUGUCCUCUUCUGUUGAAUUUAGAAUUCUAAGUGCGGAUAAUUCUUACGGGUGAGUGUGGGUAGGAUGAAGCCAUGCUAUGGGAUAUUUUUUUACAAAGGGCUUUCGGAGCAGCUCAAGGACGAGCUCGCAACCAGGGACGAGCCUUCCUCACUCAAGGACCUAAUUUUGUUGUCCAUUCGCCUCGACAACCGUUUGUGGGAAAGAGCACGGGAGAGGGGGGUAAAAGCUGAUAGAUUAGUAUCCUCCACGGGCACAGCGCCAUUAGCAAUUCCGCCACAUCCUGAACUCCCGACCGCCUGAUCAUCACCCCCCACUGCAUCGGGUGAGCCCAUGCAACUCGGCAACAUCAGAUUAGAACUUCAGGAACGUCAGCGCCCUUUUAACCAAAGAUUGUGUAUCUAUUGUGGACAACCAGGCCACUUCAUUGCCACAUGCUCCAUGAGACGAAAAGACCGGGCUCACCACGGCCCAAGAGCGCCUUGGUGAGCCAAACCAACACCUUCCCAAGCUCUCCCUCCCGUAUGACCAUUCCCACGUGUAUUCUUGGUCCCGUUCGCAACACACCAGUAACAGCCCUCAUUGACUCCGGCGCAGAUGAUAGUUUUAUUCAUUAGGGUUUAGCACGUCAGCUCCUACUCCCUCUCAAACCCCUCCCUUCGCCAAAAAAGGUCACAGCCCUGGAUGGGCUACACAGCUCCCCUGUCACCAUGAAACCAUCCAGCUUUGCAUAGAAAAAGAAAAAAAGAGAGAAAAAAAGGGGGAAAAAAUGAAAAAAAAAAAAGUUAUUAAUUCAUGUUGAUGACGCCAUUCAGUAACCUGUGUGGCGUAUAUUACCAAGUAAUGGGUACGGUUAUGUUCAUGCUCUUUUUGUACCGUGGAUAAGUAAUAUUCCUGCCACUUGUCAACUGCGGAAAGUAACUAAUAAAGUAGUACUAAUAAAGUUAUUUGUAAUCUAA
Molecule: long non-coding RNA, 2339 nt
Organism: Phyllopteryx taeniolatus (common seadragon)
Lineage: Eukaryota; Metazoa; Chordata; Actinopteri; Syngnathiformes; Syngnathidae
Exons: 3
Source: RefSeq, a predicted model, not a curated record